Molecule: ribosomal RNA, 357 nt
Filed under: Microbacterium arborescens
Lineage: Bacteria; Bacillati; Actinomycetota; Actinomycetes; Micrococcales; Microbacteriaceae
Description: bacterial SSU rRNA
Rfam family: Bacterial small subunit ribosomal RNA
Source: RNAcentral
GCAGCCCGCGGUAAUACGUAGGGCGCAAGCGUUAUCCGGAAUUAUUGGGCGUAAAGAGCUCGUAGGCGGUCUGUCGCGUCUGCUGUGAAAACCCGAGGCUCAACCUCGGGCCUGCAGUGGGUACGGGCAGACUAGAGUGCGGUAGGGGAGAUUGGAAUUCCUGGUGUAGCGGUGGAAUGCGCAGAUAUCAGGAGGAACACCGAUGGCGAAGGCAGAUCUCUGGGCCGUAACUGACGCUGAGGAGCGAAAGGGUGGGGAGCAAACAGGCUUAGAUACCCUGGUAGUCCACCCCGUAAACGUUGGGAACUAGUUGUGGGGUCCAUUCCACGGAUUCCGUGACGCAGCUAACGCAUUAAG